GGGGCCAGGAGCGGGAGGGGGGGGGAGCCGUGGCGCCGCUCUUGGGCCGCGAGGCCUCCCCCUGGGCCCGCGGCGCCACGCGGAGACCGCGACAGCAGCAGCAGGAGGUUUAAGAAUCUGCCGGUGUCUGUGCUGGAGGUGGACGUCUGGAUAUCUGUGCGGUCUGGAGCGGUGGACAAUAGACUCCUGCAGCUCAACCAGGACACGAGUCCAUUGAGGGACGGGGACAGCGUGGGGCCCUUCGUGGAGCUGAUUCUCGCAAUGGCGGAGGAAGAGUUGGAGAGAUGCAGCAGAGGAGGGGGUGGCACCGCACAAUGUUCAUGCUGAGAGUGAACGUGGCACUAGGGGAGGCUCCGGAGUUGGGCCUCCUCAGGGCGACUGGCGAUAGAGUGGAGAAG
Non-coding RNA from Petromyzon marinus (sea lamprey), 398 nucleotides. The record is from RefSeq and is a predicted model, not a curated record. NCBI's taxonomy places the organism in Eukaryota, Metazoa, Chordata, Hyperoartia, Petromyzontiformes, Petromyzontidae.